This 460-nucleotide ribosomal RNA is filed under the name uncultured bacterium. RNAcentral's name for it is "partial 16S ribosomal RNA". It matches the Rfam family "Bacterial small subunit ribosomal RNA", at positions 338 to 795 of the family's 1533-position model. The record is from RNAcentral.
CCUACGGGUGGCAGCAGUGAGGAAUAUUGGUCAAUGGCCGAGAGUCUGAACCAGCCAAGUCGCGUGAAGGAUGACUGCCCUAUGGGUUGUAAACUUCUUUUAUAUGGGAAUAAAGUGUUGCACGUGUGGCUUUUUGUAUGUACCAUAUGAAUAAGCAUCGGCUAACUCCGUGCCAGCAGCCGCGGUAAUACGGAGGAUGCGAGCGUUAUCCGGAUUUAUUGGGUUUAAAGGGUGCGGAGGUGGGUUGUUAAGUCAGUGGUGAAAGUUUGGGGCUCAACCGUAAAAUUGCAGUUGAAACUGGAUGACUUGAGUACAGUAGAGGUAGGCGGAAUGCGUGGUGUAGCGGUGAAAUGCAUAGAUAUCACGCAGAACUCCGAUUGCGAAGGCAGCUUACUGGACUGCAACUGACACUGAUGCUCGAAAGCGUGGGUAUCAAACAGGAUUAGAUACCCCGGUAGUC